UACGAAGGGGGCUAGCGUUGUUCGGAAUUACUGGGCGUAAAGCGUAUGCAGGCGGAUCGUUAAGUCGGGGGUGAAAUCCCGAGGCUCAACCUCGGAACUGCCUUUGAUACUGGGUAUCUCGAGUCCGGAAGAGGUGAGUGGAAUUCCGAGUGUAGAGGUGAAAUUCGUAGAUAUUCGGAGGAACACCAGUGGCGAAGGCGGCUCACUGGUCCGGUACUGACGCUGAGGUGCGAAAGCGUGGGGAGCAAACAGG
RNAcentral lists this ribosomal RNA (253 nucleotides) under uncultured bacterium. RNAcentral's name for it is "partial 16S ribosomal RNA". It matches the Rfam family "Bacterial small subunit ribosomal RNA", at positions 524 to 776 of the family's 1533-position model. The record is from RNAcentral.